Salmo salar (Atlantic salmon) is the source of this 54-nucleotide non-coding RNA. The record is from Rfam. Lineage: Eukaryota; Metazoa; Chordata; Actinopteri; Salmoniformes; Salmonidae.
UAUAUACCAAUUUGUAAGUCGCUCUGGAUAAGAGCUUCUGCUAAAUUAUGUAAA